This 252-nucleotide ribosomal RNA is filed under the name uncultured bacterium. RNAcentral's name for it is "partial 16S ribosomal RNA". It matches the Rfam family "Bacterial small subunit ribosomal RNA", at positions 57 to 305 of the family's 1533-position model. The record is from RNAcentral.
GCAAGUCGAGCGGUAACAGGUCUAGCUUGCUAGAUGCUGACGAGCGGCGGACGGGUGAGUAACGCGUAGGAAUCUGCCUAGUAGAGGGGGACAACAUGUGGAAACGCAUGCUAAUACCGCAUACGCCCUGAGGGGGAAAGGAGGGGAUCACUUGUGACCUUCCGCUAUUAGAUGAGCCUGCGUGAGAUUAGCUAGUUGGUAGGGUAAAGGCCUACCAAGGCGACGAUCUCUAACUGGUCUGAGAGGAUGACC